Long non-coding RNA from Falco peregrinus (peregrine falcon), 6702 nucleotides. RefSeq lists it as uncharacterized. Lineage: Eukaryota; Metazoa; Chordata; Aves; Falconiformes; Falconidae. The transcript is spliced from 4 exons. The record is from RefSeq and is a predicted model, not a curated record.
GUAAAGUCCUCUCUGUUCCCGGCUGCCCUCUGCCCUCGGUGCUCAGCAAAGAUGCCAAAUGGCCAGCGCGGGGUCACUGGCGGAGCAUUCCCGGGACGUGCUGCACUUUGUUAGUGGUGACCCUGCCACGUGGCCCUCCCCGCAGGCCGUGCUGCUCGCUGUGUCUGCACGGGCACCGGAGCGACGUGGGAGGCGAAGCUUUUCUGCAGUGCUGGGUACCGAAGUGUCCCCAGUGUGACUGUGCUGUGCUAAGGAGACAACAAGCCGGACCAGCACCUUGAGGGUCUGGGCUCCCAAAGCAUUGCAGGGGGAUACAGGCACACGGGGGCUUUUGGAUACCAGUUAGUGCUGCAAAAAGUGGUCACUGGGGACAACAAGCGGUUGUCGCUACCCUUGUUCUGGGUCGGUGGGAGGUGGCAGGCUUUGAUUUUGUGCCGCUCUCUGCUGGGACUGUUUGACCCCGGGGCUGCCACAGCAUGGAGCUGCCCCUGCCCCUGGCUGCGCUGUGGGAUAUGCCCUGGGCACCACGCUGACAGCAAGAUGGAAACUUGAAAAAAAAAAUUUGCUAACCUAUUUCUGUUUCCUGGCUGCUGCAAUUAUUUUUGGGCCCCAUCGCGUUCCCGCAUGACCUGAGUUUUACCACUCGAGGUAAUUAGAUUGAUGAAAACCCUUCUGCAAAAGGUUGUUUAAACCCAAAAUUAAGUGGGAUGAGAACUGUUGAAGAACAGCAAUCUCUGAUUUUCAGGAUCUCCACUUUCCAAUGCGUGAUGGGAAGAAGAGCUGGCCCCUGUGUGCUGUGACCCUGCGGGUGCAUGGGCUCCUCACCAAAGCGUGUCUCUGCUUAGAAAAUGGCACCUUUGGGAAAGCUGGAGGCAAAAGGGCAUCCUGAUGUGUGAGGAGCCUCCGGGGACUUGUUGGAAAAUCAGUUAUGAGAAGCACGCACCAGGCAGCUCAAAACACUGGGGCAGGACCAGCUGCCGAGGAAGAUGUGCCUUCUGCCACACAUGCCAGCAGCUUCAAGGGAAGGAUGGGAAAGAAUGGUGACUGUUGAUAAAAGGGGAAUUCUUCAUGUGCUCAGACAACACUUGGGCUAUGUCCUGAAGGAUAAACCUCAGUAACUCCUAUGGCAUUUUUUCUCUUGUGUUUCAGGUGGCCGUGGCUUUUCUUGCCAUCAAUCUGAACAUCCUAUCAGCGCAAGCCCUGCACCACUGAAACCUCAGAGACAAUUUGCAGCAGCAAAACCAGAGGUUAAUGACAAAGCACUCUGUCAAACCACCUAUUUGGCUUCUCGAUUCUCCAGUUGCAUCCUUGCUGCAUCCAGGCACAGCGCUGUAUUGUCUCUUGUCAAGCUGAGACGACGCACAGGUGAAUUUGGUGGUCCCAGGGUGCAGCUGAAGGCCUGGGGAAUCACCUGCUUGUGUUGCAAGCCUGGAUGCAGUUUGAUUUGAGGCAGAAAAGCUCAGUGAGGAGCCGAACUGUUGGCAGCUCCCGCAGAGGAUGGGUUUGCAAUGAGCACAUCUCGCCACACAGGUUUUGUCGGCUGCAGCUGCGUGGCCAACCUUGGCCAAACUUUCGGCUGUGUCUGAUGCCACCAGCAUGGUGACACCUGGCAUCGCUGUCACAGCAAACCCUCGCUGGAGCUCCACUUUUGAGCCUGUGCUCUAGUCUGCAGGCAGCUGAGCGUGCUGAGAGCUGCAGCAAAGCAGAAUCACCACCAGGAGCUUCAGUUUGCUUACAGAGAUCUCCAUCUGUGGGGAAAAGUAGUGAUGGGUAAGUUAAAAAAGGUUAAAAAUUGCUGUCCAGGUGUGCAGAGCCAGGAGGUCUCGCUGGAGCAGGUAAGGAGGGUGCUAUGGCCCCAGCGUGAGCAGGAGUCAGAGCAGUGCACAGACCUGGCAUGUUAAUGAGCAAUUUAACAAGGAGCCACCUCGGCUGGCAGCUGUUGGCUGCCUGAAGGGACAGAAAACCUCACCCUGGUGGUUGUAUCAUGCGUUUUGCUGCUUCCCUGUGUGCUUUGGGACCUCCACAGGGGAGCAGAGGAAUGUCUGCCAGCUCUAGCAGGAAUUGCUCUAGAUACUUGGCUGUCUCUUUGUUUAUCCAAACUGUCUAGCUGGGUGGGCUGGGGCCCUAAUCAGUAGUUCAUGAUUGGACUAAUGGAGAAAAAGACCCAGCUGGCAGAUUUCCCAGUGAGUUGGGCAGCCUAUUCCUUGUGUAUCUGCGCUGACCCUCAGAAAUCAACUGAAACAAAAUCACAACAGCUCAAAGAAUCUGUCUCAGAGAUGGUGUUCAGGGUAAAAGACUAAAAUAAUGUUGCUUAAUCAUGACAUGCAAGAAGUCAAUAAAGAAUAACACAGCAUAGUUCUGACGUGGUGAAUUCGUACCUGACUGCCAGGCUCCACUUUUAUUAUGUCCAUAAUAAGACGGUGCUGCCACUGUUUUUUGUGGCCAUUAGUCCAGGGGAAGCGUUGCCUCAUCCCUGCUGGACACGUGCUUUCUGGUCCUAUAACCCUGGUUGCACAGAGUAUUCAUUUAAGCGGAGGGACUGCUCGCACCCUGCUGCCUGCUCCUGUUGGCUCCAGAGGCAUGCAGUGACCUCCUGCAGCAUCGUCCCCUCCAUCAUCCCACCAGUGCAGGAGGGUUGAGGUCUGGCAGGACUCCCAGGGCCCCCCAGUUCCCAGGAGACAAUAGGAGAGGACAAGCCCCCAGGAUGUACUUUCCACAGCCCAUGGCCAGGAAUUCUGAAGCAGGUCUUGUCUCUUGUGUGGUACCUCCUGGGGCAGAACAAUUAAUCAAUCCCCAGCUGCUAUUUGCCUGGGAAUUAGCUGUUUCCUGAGGAUUAACCUAAUUGUCUAAUUAUUUGUUAUAUCACCUCUCCUCCCGCUUCUCAUUCAUUGUUUUAUUUGUAAAAUAUCUUUAGUCUCUUUUAUUUGAAAGCAUUCAGGAGACUUGUUUUGGGUUUGGUGGUUUGUUUGGUUUUUUUUGCAUACAUUUCUUUUCUGAAGAGUCCUUGCUGAUACAAACAUCUCCUCAGCCUCCCUGGGAGCAAGGACUGGGGGGUCUGGCCUUUAGAGUGUGAAAUUUCCCCCCCUGCCCACAGGGAAGUCCUCUAAUCUGCUUUUGUUCUUGUGUUCACCCUGUCUGACUGGCUCCUGAGACAGUAUUACACUGCAAAAGGGAUGUGUGUCUAGAGAACAUGCUCUAGACAACUCCUUGACAGGAGUUUUAGGGUUAGGGCAUAAAUGUGAUUUUGCUCCUUCAGUAGGUGUUUAACUACUUGAGUUUGUCCUUGCCCCUAAAGAAUCCACCUGCAUUAGCAGAAUCUGCUCUUGCCUCCCAGAAGCAAUUGCCUGUUGACACCUUGGUCUUUGUUCACAAGGCACAAAUGGUCACCCCCCAGAAAAGCAAACAAAACGAGGAGAUCACCCACAGAGCAGCCUGUGUGACUGGGAGCGGGGAUGUUUGGAAGUGCAGGGAUGGAUUCUCCAUCCCCCAUUCCAGCUGCCUUUGCAGAGGAAGUUAGAGGCCCUUUAAAAGAAGUAGCCGAAUUACUGACUCCUCUACAGGACCCUCACACCCUGGGCCUUACUAGCUGGUGUAAGAUCCAGCCAGUUAACUUCAGCCAGCUCUUACCAGCUGGUGUAAGCUCCAGCUGGCUUUUACAUCCUUCACCUGCGGUGAUGUGCGGACAGCUGGUCUAAAUUGUGAUCUGGGGCUGAAAUACUCCUGGUUGUGUCCAGAGUUAAAAGAGAGUUAAAAUAUGCUUUCUUUGGUGCAAAAGGAGUGCUCGCUCUUUUCUCUCCACUUGGGUAUUGGAGCUAGAAGCCAACGUCGGGGGGGGACAGUCUGGCAAAGCUGCCACCGUCACUCAGGCAGAGAGCGGCUGAAUCGCUGCAGAUAAUGGUCCUCUAUUGAUUUUGACUUGUUUUUACAAUCAUUUGAGAAUUUUCACUAAGCAGAAUGAGAAAAUCUUCUGAUCCCCCAGAGGGUUCUCUUGUUCCUCUCGUUCUCUCAAGGAAAUAACAACAACAAAUAAACAAAAAAAAAACAAAGCAGAAAAAUUAAGCCCAUGAGUAAACCGUAAAUAAUGGGGUAGAGCUGGCUGAGAGUGCUUUGAUGUUCAAAUGCAUCAGUUACUUGAUUCGGUUCUUUUCCUUAUAAUUUUCCUGUAUGCACUUUCCCAACUUUUCAUAGGCAGGAUUUCAGUAAGAGGCACGGCUCCACGACAGUUCGUGGGCAUUCCCAGCCCUGCACGGAGGAGCACGAGCUGGGCUGGGCAUGGGGGUUUUGUUUCUUGGCUGGGUGCUUAUGUCCAGAGGCUUUUGGGGAUCUGCUUUGGGGGUCAUUCCUCUGGGUCAAGUCUGUCUGAUAAAGUCUUUGCGAUGUUUUGAUGAGUUCCCAAAAUGUGUGUGCGUGUGUGUGUGUGUGUGUGUGCAUUGGCUCACUGUGUAUGUCUGUGCUGGACCUGGGUGUCAGGACCGCUGGAGGCUGGAGUUUGUGCCCAUGGGGCGGUUGUCUCUGGGGCUUCUUGCAGAUUGGAGGUGACCCUGACGAGUUUCCCGUGGCAGGGAGAAGGGGUGCGCACGUGUGUGUGCACCGUGCAUGCUUGGGGACUGGGGUCUGCACAUCUCAUCCGAGCGCAGCGUUUGUAAUAGAAGCCAACUCCAAGUGCUAGCAGCACUGUUCUGCUGCUCAGAGGUGUUUGUUGGCUCAUGCAACUGAAAAGAUUAUGACAUUCAAAAGAAAUAAUUUAUAAACAGCAGAUGUUUCAUAAACUAUGAUUAAAAACCCCCAACAACCACAACACCAGCCCACCCAGUAUGUGCUUGUACCUCAACUUGGAAAAAAGUAUCUAGAUAGAACAGCUGCUGAGAGCACCAAGGGAGGUCGGCUCCGGAGCAGCGCUGAGAUACACAUGAUGCCGAAUGCCUAAUAAGAAAUCUUGAAGUGAUACAAAAAGGGCAUCUGAGGGAAAUUAAACUCAUACAUUUUUUAUAAGAAAUGGGGGGAAGAAUGAUAUGAAGUGGGGAAAUGUAAAGUGGGGAAUGGGGAAGGAAGAGGGAAAAACAAUCAUGAGGGUGCAGCAGAGCUGAGCCACACUGUUAAACGCUUUGACAGCGAGCUGUGAGCGAAGCUGGAGUGCAGCUGGCAGGCGGCGAUGUGACCCUGUGCCCUGCCUUCCUGAGCCUGGCUGGGGUGAGAGCAGGACUGCUGCUGGGGACAUGCGUCCUGACCAGGGAAAGAGACAGCAGGGGCUGACACUGCCGUGUACCUCUUCCCAGAAAGCCUUUUUGAUACAACUGUAAAAAAUUCAUUUCAACAUCAAAGCGCAUUUUAAUUUGCGCUUUCAGUUUGAUUGAUUUCAUUUCUUCUGUGUCUGCUAAAUAACGACACAAGCAUUUUCAGAAAAUGCCCUUCUGAUACUCUCUAACUGCUUGGGUUUGGACUGUAAUCAGCCCUCCUCCUCCUUCUCCUCUCGGUCCCUGCAGCCCCUGCCCAGGCGGUGGCUGCAGCCAGGAGAAGGUGGACAUCUCCCUCCUCCUUGUGCUCCUGCCAGGCUGGGCAGCUGGGGCAGAGAAUUUGUCUGGGGUGCAGAGCUGCUGGCUGAAAGCCUCCCUCCAGCUGUGGCCACAUCUGCCACGUACCCCAUGGACCGACUGCAGGUCAUUGCAUCUCGCUCCACUCCUGCCACCCUACCAGUGCCUACCACUCUGCAGCUGUAUCCUGGUAGGAGCAGCUCCUUCCUUACAGCCUUUCCUCCACGAAUCCACAGAUCUGUAUUUCUCCAAUUUUAGUCCCUUUCACCUACAAUCAGAAGACUUCUCCCACAGCCCCAGCCUUUAGUGGCCAUCAGCCUCCCUGGUAUGAUUACAUAGGUCUCUCUAAAGCAUCACAGGGAUGUAACUCAUCUGAAGGACCCAGUCAGUUCUUUCCCAGCUGGCUAUUAAUUAUUGUGUUUGCCCAAGAAAUCCCUUGGCAGAGAUCCACAUCUCUUGACCAGCUUUUAGCAACCUCCGGAAUAGCCUCCAGUGAUGUAGUUUCCCACUCACCUCCGUGCAUGCUUAUCUGUUCACCAUCUGAGUAAAGAUUUGGAUGAAGCAGAUGAAUAUCUGGUAUUACCGGCCAAAAACUGCUGAGCAAUGCAAAAUAAAUGGGGAGUAUAGAAACAUGGAGUGAAGGAGGAGGUCUCAGGAAGCAUCUGGCCAGCCCCUCCUCAGGGAGGCUGGAUCACGUAGCCCUGGCUGGCAGGAAUCUGUGCCCACCGUGCAAGGGAGCUGACACAAUUUGGUAGGUGCCAGCCCAGAAACCUUAGCUGGGAUCUCCAUCUCUCGCUGGCUAAAGAUGGAGCUUUCAUGGCUCCAGUGUUUGUGAUUGCCACGUUCAUGCCCUCCACAUUGCACUGACUGCCAGAGGAGACAGGUCACAGCACAGUGACCGGGUACCUGGCACAUUAAAUCUGGAAUUCCAGUUUGGGCAUCCUGGAAGAAGGAGGCCAUGUUCUGGUUUAAUAAUAGCUUGGUCUCCCUGGAGACCAUCACAUGUAGACAAGCUUCAAAAAAGGCUCAUAAAGGACCUUAGAAAUCCCCCUGAUUUUCAGUCCCCCUCCUCUUCACACAUCCCAGGUCCAUCACGGUUGAGUUUCUUAGGCAGAGCAGGCUGUGCAUUUGCAGGUGGUUUAUUUUGUCCUGGAAAGACAUACAUACAGAA